This 1145-nucleotide ribosomal RNA is filed under the name Faucicola osloensis. RNAcentral's name for it is "bacterial SSU rRNA". It matches the Rfam family "Bacterial small subunit ribosomal RNA", at positions 190 to 1319 of the family's 1533-position model. Lineage: Bacteria; Pseudomonadati; Pseudomonadota; Gammaproteobacteria; Moraxellales; Moraxellaceae. The record is from RNAcentral.
ACGACCUACGGGUGAAAGGGGGCGCAAGCUCUUGCUAUUAGAUGAGCCUAAAUCAGAUUAGCUAGUUGGUGGGGUAAAGGCCCACCAAGGCGACGAUCUGUAACUGGUCUGAGAGGAUGAUCAGUCACACCGGAACUGAGACACGGUCCGGACUCCUACGGGAGGCAGCAGUGGGGAAUAUUGGACAAUGGGGGCAACCCUGAUCCAGCCAUGCCGCGUGUGUGAAGAAGGCCUUUUGGUUGUAAAGCACUUUAAGCGGGGAGGAGAGGCUAAUGGUUAAUACCCAUUAGAUUAGACGUUACCUGCAGAAUAAGCACCGGCUAACUCUGUGCCAGCAGCCGCGGUAAUACAGAGGGUGCGAGCGUUAAUCGGAAUUACUGGGCGUAAAGCGAGUGUAGGUGGCUCAUUAAGUCACAUGUGAAAUCCCCGGGCUUAACCUGGGAACUGCAUGUGAUACUGGUGGUGCUAGAAUAUGUGAGAGGGAAGUAGAAUUCCAGGUGUAGCGGUGAAAUGCGUAGAGAUCUGGAGGAAUACCGAUGGCGAAGGCAGCUUCCUGGCAUAAUAUUGACACUGAGAUUCGAAAGCGUGGGUAGCAAACAGGAUUAGAUACCCUGGUAGUCCACGCCGUAAACGAUGUCUACUAGCCGUUGGGGUCCUUGAGACUUUAGUGGCGCAGUUAACGCGAUAAGUAGACCGCCUGGGGAGUACGGCCGCAAGGUUAAAACUCAAAUGAAUUGACGGGGGCCCGCACAAGCGGUGGAGCAUGUGGUUUAAUUCGAUGCAACGCGAAGAACCUUACCUGGUCUUGACAUAGUGAGAAUCCUGCAGAGAUGCGGGGAGUGCCUUCGGGAAUUCACAUACAGGUGCUGCAUGGCUGUCGUCAGCUCGUGUCGUGAGAUGUUGGGUUAAGUCCCGCAACGAGCGCAACCCUUUUCCUUAUUUGCCAGCGGGUUAAGCCGGGAACUUUAAGGAUACUGCCAGUGACAAACUGGAGGAAGGCGGGGACGACGUCAAGUCAUCAUGGCCCUUACGACCAGGGCUACACACGUGCUACAAUGGUAGGUACAGAGGGUUGCUACACAGCGAUGUGAUGCUAAUCUCAAAAAGCCUAUCGUAGUCCGGAUUGGAGUCUGCAACUCGACUCC